CCUACGGGGGGCAGCAGUGAGGAAUAUUGGUCAAUGGGCGCGAGCCUGAACCAGCCAAGUCGCGUGAGGGAAGACGGUCCUAUGGAUUGUAAACCUCUUUUGUCGGGGAGCAAAAGACGCCACGCGUGGCGUUCCGAGAGUACCCGACGAAAAAGCAUCGGCUAACUCCGUGCCAGCAGCCGCGGUAAUACGGAGGAUGCGAGCGUUAUCCGGAUUUAUUGGGUUUAAAGGGUGCGUAGGCGGAAUAUCAAGUCAGCGGUAAAAAUUCGGGGCUCAACCCCGUCGUGCCGUUGAAACUGAUGUUCUGGAGUGGGCGAGAAGUAUGCGGAAUGCGUGGUGUAGCGGUGAGAUGCAUAGAUAUCACGCAGAACUCCGAUUGCGAAGGCAGCAUACCGGCGCCCAACUGACGCUGAAGCACGAAAGCGUGGGUAUCGAACAGGAUUAGAUACCCUGGUAGUC
RNAcentral lists this ribosomal RNA (459 nucleotides) under uncultured bacterium. Its description in RNAcentral is "partial 16S ribosomal RNA". It matches the Rfam family "Bacterial small subunit ribosomal RNA", at positions 338 to 795 of the family's 1533-position model. The record is from RNAcentral.